Strigops habroptila (Kakapo) is the source of this 3321-nucleotide long non-coding RNA. Lineage: Eukaryota; Metazoa; Chordata; Aves; Psittaciformes; Psittacidae. The record is from Ensembl.
AGAUGAACACCUGGCAUAGUAAUUGAAGUUCAUAACAUGAUUUUACAUUUGAAUAUCCUAUCUGUACCACACAUUUAAAACACUGUAUGUUUAAUACGGUUUCUAAAACAUGUAUCUAUACUACAAAACAUAUAAAAAUGUCAGUAGCACAUAAAUAUAUUCAUAACUGUACUAACAAACAGCUCAGCCAGAUAAACGUUAUACUUGAUCUUAGUCAUUGUCUAAAUAACUAAUUGAGCAUCCCUCAAUGCUUAAACUAGCAAAAUAGUUUUUUCUACCAAAUACAGUAUGUUCUUGCAUCUCACUUUAAAGGUCAAAGAGCUCUCUCCAGCAGCUCACCAGAGCAAUGACUGCCACUGAAAGGGACCCUUCACGUUACACCUCUGAUCUAGGAAACCCUUGCUCUAAAUACAAUUUUAGAAAUUCUUCACCUCAUCAUUCUCAGCAGCCACUUCCCCUUGGAACGUCACUCUCCCAUUAUUUGAAAAGGAAGAAGAAAAAAUCCAGCACGUUUUGUUUGUUAAAUAGAGAAAAUACUUUCUUCCUUCCUGUAUACCACUUCCAGAAUUUCAGCAACAGAUGUAGCUGAACUAUUAAAGCUUCUGAGACCAGAAGGGUCACAAAUUCCCUGCCAUAGAUAAGGUAAACUCUUGUCUAGGCAGUUUUUGACUGAUAUCUCCUAGGCAGAAACACAUGCACAUGUGCUUCACAACACAAAUGGAAUGAGCUGGACACAGAUCCAGGGGCACGGAGCUCACUGUGUGUGUGAUGUACAGAUUAAUCUCUCUGAGCAGAAGUGUACAUUUGUGAUAGGGUCGGUCCAUCCAAAACAUGAGCUAUCAGUGAACCAUAUGCACAGUUAAAUACAUCAGUCCCAACAUACUUAAUACACUACUAUACUCCAUUGUAGUAGCUAUAGUUAGUGGCUAACGUAAGACAAAUUGUCCACACAGAUCCCGUAAAUCCUCAAAUUUCAUUCGGAUGAAAUUUUCAGGUGAAAAAGAAGAUGUAUCCAUAUCCAUCUAGUAUAGACCUCUACUUCUGGGGAAUAUUAACAGCAUGUAACAAUUUGCUAUCAAACUCUAGAAAUUAUAUUUUUCAUCUCUUAGAUCUCACAAGGCAGAAGUUUUUAUUCAUUGUUGUUAUUGUCAUUCUUAUCUUAAUGCAGGCUACCCAAAUCCCCCAUGCUUAAUUUUGCUGCAUUUAUUUACUUGCCAGCACCCCCUCACUCUCACUGAAGAACACAAGUCUCAGGAAAGUCACGAUCAUGAAAGAAUGCUGUUAGCAGCAGUAGGAAGAUGAUGGAUGGACAAUCCGGUCUUGACAAAGCUUCAAAACAAGGAGAUAUGCACUAUUUUCACUCUUUUAUCUCCUUUCCCCUUUAACAAAACUCAUCUCUUGCAACACCCAGCAGAUGCUCCACAUGACAGCAUGAGAUCUGUCAGAGUACCUUAUAAAAUCAGUGAAAACCCCUAGGUCUGCAGUGUCACGAGCGAAUGAAUAAUGUCACUUCAAUCACAUGAAAUAUAUAAUUAAUCAGACAGUAAAAAAGUGUUGGCCUCAAAACGUUGAACUCUUUCUCCAGUUCCACUGGACUUUAUUGCUUCCAACAAAUUGUUGAGAGAACAUGACAAAAGAAGAGAAAAAUCAAGGUCUUUGGAUUAUAAGAGCUCAAUGUUAAUCGAUAUGAGGACUGCAAAUAUUGGUUACAUCCCGGGCUGAGCACCCAAUUCAGAUAUCCUUUUGAAGGGCUGUUUUUCACUCCUUCAUGUGCUGAGGAAGAGCCUUAAGGAAGUUGUACAAAGACAGAUUGAAGAUCAUUGCUUUCCCCUGACACACAGUUCUUGGCCAAAAAUAGGAGGGGAACUAAUGAAGAAUAUAAAUAAGGGAAAACAAAUACAAAAGGUCUGGAAAGAAGUUGUAAUAAAACAGAAAUUGGAAACAGGCAUAAGUUAAAUCCAAGAAAGUCUAAAUAGAGACAGGCUGGCAUCAGUUCAAGCUAUGGUACUUAAAAUAAUUUAGACAGUCACCUUUAAAAAGAAGUCAUAAAAAUGCCUUGGCGGUAUCAACAACUCAAGCCCUUCUAUACAGUAAAACCUCUGUUACUCUUUUUUUCUUUUGCCUGUUUUCUCAUGCAUCUUGUCAUUCCCCUCAGGUCCUAUCCCUCACAGAUAAUUUUCAACAUGUUCCAAAAGGUAUUAUUUAGAUUAGUUAAAAAAUGUUUUUUCUAAUUAUUCCGAUAAGCAAUGGUAUUGGUUUGGAUCUUUGACAAGGGGUGAAAUUUUUAAAUAAUACUAAAUUAAUACAACACAAUUAUUUGGCACAAUCAUUUUUACUAUAUUAUGGCUCAAAAUACUAACAAGACAGUUAAAAGUAUAGACACUUCUGAAGAGAUAAAAAUGCUUAAACAUUGUCAUCUAUAAAGAUGAACAGUAAGAAAAACUAACAUAUGAAAAUGAGGUUAUCAUAACAAAACAGCCUGGUUUCUUUAAGGGGAACUUCUUUUGUUGUUUAAAUAGGGAUAAAAAGUUGUUGAAAAUUCUUUAAAAAAAACCCUUAUAAAAUGCCCUGCCACUGAAUAUAUGAGUGAUGUUGGCUAUGUCGCAGAUAGAACCAAGCUAAAAUAUCCACCAUGAGGUCAUAACGAUUUCCCAGGACCUCCUUGAAAAUGUGAAGUGUGGGAUAUUCCUGAUGAAAUAAUGUAUAAAUACCUUCAAUAAAGUAAGCAAGGGAGUUAAUUCUGGCAGAAGGGAUCUGCUUUGACUUAUUGAGAACUUGCUCUCUCCUCAUGUAUCUUUCACUGACAAUUUAAAUGAAUGGAUACUACAACUCAAACCACCAGAGAAGAGCAAAACCUGGGACUGGUAACUUAUUACCUCAUUCCCAGUCACACAUUUUGGGCUGCCAGGAACCUCUUCUAUCCCUUUUUGGCUCAGCACAGGACACUGUUCAACCCAUUUGUCUACCCUGCUGCCUCCUUACCCCUUUGGACACACAUACACACAGAGGAAAAUCUAGCUACAGCUAGCUAGUUUAGAAAAGAUAAUUUGUUUCAAGCUGUUAUGUUUCUCAAGUGAAUAUCAGAUGAAUUCAUAAUUGUGGGAACUCUUGAAACAUUUCCAGUUUUACACAACAUGUUUGUUUUAAGGCUCCGGUGACGUCUGUAAUGUGUGGGUCUGCGGAGAUUUGGAACAGAUGCAUUAUUUUCCUCAGCCACCUGGAAGAAAGUAAAAUAUUGAGAAAAGCUGGUUUAUAAGGACUCCCUAGUGUCCACAAACUGGUCUGGUUAAUAAGAGAGAAAAUAUUUCUUCUUUUUUUUUU